Molecule: ribosomal RNA, 434 nt
Filed under: Phaeocystis sp. JD-2012
Lineage: Eukaryota; Haptophyta; Phaeocystales; Phaeocystaceae
Description: SSU rRNA
Rfam family: Eukaryotic small subunit ribosomal RNA
Source: RNAcentral
AAUCCUGACACAGGGAGGUAGUGACAAGAAAUAACAAUACAGGGCUACUUCUAGUCUUGUAAUUGGAAUGAGUACAACUUACAUCUCUUCACGAGGAUCAAUUGGAGGGCAAGUCUGGUGCCAGCAGCCGCGGUAAUUCCAGCUCCAAUAGCGUAUAUUAAAGUUGUUGCAGUUAAAAAGCUCGUAGUCGGAUUUCGGGGCGGGCCGAGCGGUCUGCCGAUGGGUAUGCACUGUUCGGCGCGUCCUUCUUUCCGGAGACUAGUUCUACUCUUAACUGAGCGGGACUGGGAGACGGAUCGUUUACUUUGAAAAAAUCAGAGUGUUUCAAGCAGGCAGCUCGCUCUUGCAUGGAUUAGCAUGGGAUAAUGAAAUAGGACUCUGGUGCUAUUUUGUUGGUUUCGAACACCGGAGUAAUGAUUAACAGGGACAGUCAG